Molecule: ribosomal RNA, 483 nt
Filed under: uncultured bacterium
Lineage: Bacteria
Description: partial 16S ribosomal RNA
Rfam family: Bacterial small subunit ribosomal RNA
Source: RNAcentral
AUUGAACGCUGGCGGAAUGCUUUACACAUGCAAGUCGAGCGGCAGCACGGGGGCAACCCUGGUGGCGAGCGGCGAACGGGUGAGUAAUACAUCGGAACAUGCCCAGUCGUGGGGGAUAACACUUCGAAAGAAGUGCUAAUACCGCAUACGUCCUGAGGGAGAAAGCGGGGGAUCGCAAGACCUCGCGCGAUUGGAGUGGCCGAUGUCAGAUUAGCUAGUUGGUGGGGUAAAGGCCUACCAAGGCAACGAUCUGUAGCUGGUCUGAGAGGAUGAUCAGCCACACUGGGACUGAAACACGCCCCGAACCCCAACGGGGGGCCGCGGGGGGGAAUUUUGAACAAUGGGGGCAACCCUGGUCCAGCCCUUCCGGGUGGGGAAAGAAGGCCUUCGGGUUGUAAAGCUCUUUGGGCAGGAACAAAACGGCGGGCCCUAACAUAGCUUGCUAAUGACGGUACCUAAAAAAAAAGCACCGGCUAACUACGU